UUGGAGAGAGGGUUUUGAUCUGGCUCAGAUUGAACGCUGCGCAUGCUCACAUGCAAGUCGACGGCAGCACAGAGAAGCUGCUCUGGGUGGCGAGUGGCGAACGGGUGAGUAACAUAUCGGAACGUACCGAGCAGUGGGGGAUAACUAAUCGAAAGAUUAGCUAAUACCGCAUAUUUUCUGAGGAAGAAAGCAGGGGACCAUUUGGCCUUGCGCUGUUUGAGCGGCCGAUAUCUGAUUAGGUUGGUGGGGUAAAGGCCUACCAAGGCGACGAUCAGUAGCGGGUCUGAGAGGAUGAUCCGCCACACUGGGACUGAGACACGGCCCAGACUCCUACGGGAGGCAGCAGUGGGGAAUUUUGGACAAUGGGCGCAAGCCUGAUCCAGCCAUGCCGCGUGUCUGAAGAAGGCCUUCGGGUUGUAAAGGACUUUUGUCAGGGAAGAAAAGGGCGGGGUUAAUACCCCUGUCUGAUGACGGUACCUGAAGAAUAAGCACCGGCUAACUACGUGCCAGCAGCCGCGGUAAUACGUAGGGUGCGAGCGAUCGGAAUUACUGGGCGUAAAGCGGGCGCAGACGGUUACAGCAGGAUGUGAAAUCCCCGGGCUCAACCUGGGAACUGCGUUCUGAACUGGGUGACUAGAGUGUGUCAGAGGGAGGUAGAAUUCCACGUGUAGCAGUGAAAUGCGUAGAGAUGUGGAGGAAUACCGAUGGCGAAGGCAGCCUCCUGGGAUAACACUGACGUCUGCCCCAAAAGCGGAA
RNAcentral lists this ribosomal RNA (756 nucleotides) under Morococcus cerebrosus. Its description in RNAcentral is "bacterial SSU rRNA". It matches the Rfam family "Bacterial small subunit ribosomal RNA", at positions 1 to 764 of the family's 1533-position model. Lineage: Bacteria; Pseudomonadati; Pseudomonadota; Betaproteobacteria; Neisseriales; Neisseriaceae. The record is from RNAcentral.